AAGUCGUAACAAGGUAUCCGUAGGUGAACCUGCGGAUGGAUCAUUAACAGUAUUCAAUACUAUUCAACACCUGUGAACUGUAUGGGACGGUUUAUCCUCCCAUUAAUAACAUUAUAAGACUGAAAUCACUAUAUAACAAUUAUAAAACUUUUAGCAACGGAUCUCUGGGCUCUC
RNAcentral lists this unclassified non-coding RNA (174 nucleotides) under fungal sp. RNAcentral describes it as "partial internal transcribed spacer region". The stretch from base 1 to 46 matches the Rfam family "Eukaryotic small subunit ribosomal RNA", at positions 1786 to 1831 of the family's 1831-position model. The record is from RNAcentral. Lineage: Eukaryota; Fungi.